UACGGGGGGGGCAAGCGUUGUUCGGAAUUACUGGGCGUAAAGGGCUCGUAGGCGGCCAACUAAGUCGGAUGUGAAAUCCCCAGGCUUAACCUGGGAACUGCAUCCGAUAUGGGAUGGCUUGAAUCCGGGAGAGGGAUGCAGAAUUCCAGGUGUAGCGGUGAAAUGCGUAGAUAUCUGGAGGAAUACCGGUGGCGAAGGCGGUAUCCUGGACCGGCAUUGACGCUGAGGAGCGAAAGCGAGGGGAGCAAACGGG
Molecule: ribosomal RNA, 253 nt
Filed under: uncultured bacterium
Lineage: Bacteria
Description: partial 16S ribosomal RNA
Rfam family: Bacterial small subunit ribosomal RNA
Source: RNAcentral